RNAcentral lists this transfer-messenger RNA (351 nucleotides) under uncultured Eubacterium sp. It matches the Rfam family "transfer-messenger RNA". From Rfam's summary of the family: Bacterial tmRNA, also known as 10Sa RNA or SsrA, is named for its dual tRNA and mRNA-like properties. Its role is to liberate the mRNA from a stalled ribosome. To accomplish this part of the tmRNA is used as a reading frame that ends in a translation stop signal. Lineage: Bacteria; Bacillati; Bacillota; Clostridia; Eubacteriales; Eubacteriaceae. The record is from RNAcentral.
GGGGAUGAAAGGAUUUCGACAGGGUUAUUGAACCUCGGUCAGCGGGUAGCGGAGUUGCACCGCUUUAAAAGUAACACUUUAAAAUUAACUGACACUAAUAAGACAGUUUUAAAGGCUGCCUAAGCGCGCCUUUCGUUCUCUUUAAGCUUGCCGCAGCUUAAAUGAGGGCGUCGAUUCAGCGGCGAACAUGAACAGGUGAACGCUUCGGCACCUGUCAGGUAUAAGAAGCUACCGUAACCGCAAGGCUGUUUGUUUCCGAGCGGCGAGGGGAAUCGCCAAUAACAAACUACACCCGUAGAGCCCUUGGCAAAAUUUCUUUGGACGCGAGUUCGAUUCUCGCCAUCUCCACCA